UGCUCCUGAAAAGUGGGCAGGAAAAGCUGGUUGUGUACAAGUUACCACAGCACGAAUGACAUAAAACACUGACUGCAGUUGACGUCCCUCAACACGUUCAGGAGUCCAACACUACGGUUCUGGUUUGGUUUUCAGCUGGAAGGCAUGGGCUUUGAUAACCACUUAUCUUGCUCAAGUUGUUCAACACAGAAACAAGACCGAUGAAGCCUUCAUCUUUGGCCUAAUAUCCAAAAGAACUUACAAGGCUGUGUUUCAGCAUUUAUAUUGUCAGACCUUGCUGUGACUAGAGAGUAAUCUUCCAGAAUACGAAGCAUAUUUGCCCUAGGUACACUGAGCCUUUAAACCUCCAGUGUUAUACUUAGAAUUGACUGGAUUAAGAUCAAAGGCAUCAUAAAUGGUAGAGUUUUUGUUGAAAAGAAGAAAGGGACUUUGUAAUUACUACUUUAUAAAAGGUGAUAAGUAGUGAAAUAAAACCAACAUUGUCUACAAACAGUUGAAAUAAGGUCUUGAGGUGUAGCACAGCAACUCUUACAUAGUUUAUGCAUUACCUUACGUGUGUUGUAGGAAUCUGCAGUCUGAUGUUUUCUGCGUUCUGGUGUUUGGAAAGAGGAGAGGAAGAGGGAAAAGAAGAUGGAAACUAUAAACACUGGGCUUUUACCUGUCUGCCUCCAGCCAGCAGGAAGGUUCCCACAUUAGAGACCUGCUCACUUUAGCUUGUUGUUAUGGGCUUCCCUACUGGACUUCCAGCUAAUAUUGGCAGGAAUACAAGUUGGUGAGAAGGCAAGACCCAGCUCCCUCUGACAUCUCAUUGACCUUGGAAGAUAUUUGGAUUGCAGCCCAAAUGAAAAAUGAUAUAAUACAUCUUCAGGAAAGAAUUUA
Long non-coding RNA from Pezoporus occidentalis (night parrot), 879 nucleotides. RefSeq lists it as uncharacterized. The transcript has 3 exons. The record is from RefSeq and is a predicted model, not a curated record. Lineage: Eukaryota; Metazoa; Chordata; Aves; Psittaciformes; Psittacidae.